RNAcentral lists this long non-coding RNA (245 nucleotides) under Olea europaea (common olive). RNAcentral's name for it is "long non-coding RNA (OEUR_LNC014793)". The record is from RNAcentral. Lineage: Eukaryota; Viridiplantae; Streptophyta; Magnoliopsida; Lamiales; Oleaceae.
UCUGGCCUUGGAGCCCAUGACCUAGGCUAAGAACGCCGUGGCCAGAUCAUUCCAAUUCUUUACCGACCUCUCGUGCAGUCUCCUAAACCAUCUUUGAGCUUUGUCUUCUAGAGUUAGGGGGAAUGUCUAGCAUAUGAUUGCGUUGCUUGCCCCUUGUAGUUCCAUCCACGAGGUAUAUUUGUCAAGGUGGCUGAGGGGAUCACCAUCCCCUUCGUAUGCGGCGAUCUGGGGGAUUUUCAAUUUUU